Molecule: long non-coding RNA, 502 nt
Organism: Balaenoptera ricei (Rice's whale)
Lineage: Eukaryota; Metazoa; Chordata; Mammalia; Artiodactyla; Balaenopteridae
Exons: 3
Source: RefSeq, a predicted model, not a curated record
CAAGUCCCUGCUGGGUCUGGUAGAUUGUUGCUGCCUCUUUACCCAAACAAGAGGCAACUUCUGAAAACACCAUCUUCACAAGCUGGACCUCGAGUUCUCCGAAGGGGCCUGUGACGGAAGGAAGUGAAUGGAAGGUGGAAGGGCAGGACAAGUGGGUAAACUGACAGAGGCUGCCGCUCGCUUCCCUGACCCCAGCCCUGCAGAUGCCAUGGAGGCCAGAGGAAGGUGGAUGGAACUACAAAAGGAGAGUGAGGAUGUGUGGAACCAACCCCUAAGAAGAAAGAAGAUGAUGGGUCUCCAGGUUGAAGAGUGGGAACCCCCAGAGUAAGAGAGGAGCACUCCUAUAGCCACCAGUACAAAACCUUUCUCGAGAAAUCCUCCUCCUCUUCAUUAUUUGAAAAGCUGAGUCCAUUUGAAGACUCUCUCCUUCCCCCAGGGGAGACCUCUGAGAUGCUCCAGAGAAAACUGGAUAUACUGAAGGGCACCAGAGCUGGAAGCCGAG